This 764-nucleotide long non-coding RNA is filed under the name Trifolium pratense (red clover). RNAcentral describes it as "long non-coding RNA (TPRA_LNC002794)". The record is from RNAcentral. Lineage: Eukaryota; Viridiplantae; Streptophyta; Magnoliopsida; Fabales; Fabaceae.
CAGCCCAAGCCCAUAAAUCAUGACCCAAACUCAAAUUAUUAUUAUUAUUAUUAUUAUCUCAAACCCUACAUUUUCUCUUCCUCUUCCAUUCAUUCAACAGCCGUUCAAUUCCUUCCUCUUUGUUUUUUUUUUCUUUUGAUUUUUUUCAACAUCUUCCUUCAUUAUGAUAAGAUUCCCUUCAUCAACAUCUCUUCUUCUUCUUCUCACAGUCAAUAUGUUCUAUUUCUUCACCCUUGCACAGAUUUGUUUUUUAAAUCUUAAUUGCCACUUUCUCACCUAGAUCUUGACCUCUAUAGACAAUUUUUUGAAAUACCAUCGCCAUAUAAAGAAUCUCCUUCACCUCCUUUACAAAAUCCACAAAGAAAAUUUAGGAUCGGAACACCUUCGUCGGUGGCCACCGUGCUGGUAAACAUUAUCACCGUGCCCAAAAAACACGUUUGGUGUUGUUGUCUUCUCUUCCAUCCUACCGAAAACAUUAUGGGACUUCAUCUUCUCCACUUUUCUUUUACAUCCAAGAACCGCAAGAUCAAAGACAACAAAAGGGGAAAAAAUCACACCUGGUUUGAUUUUUUUGUUUUAUCUUUGUAAAUUGUUUUUCUGUCCUCUGUUUGUAGAAGUCAUGCCAAUCUUUUGAAUAUAUUUUCCAUGAUUUCACUACUGUAAUUAUAUAAUUUUUUUUUAUUAUUUAUUUGUUUGGAUCUGUGAAAUUUAUAGGAAAAAUAAUGUAUUUAUUUUUUAGUUACCUUCAAAUGUUUCUGUUAUUU